UCAACAAAUUGUAUUAGCCUGCAUUCAAGUGCAGCAUUAAUCUUACAUUCUGGAAAUUGCUGUAUUACUGAACACGUUCUUCUCUUUUUCUUUCUUUGCAUGCCAUGGUUUGAGGUGCCAUGAUGGUGAAUAUGUUGUCACAGUGGCAAACAUGUGUUGUGGAAGAUAUUCUGAAAAGUCCAACUGAAAACAGCAACAACAAAUACAUACAUGCUGCAUACAUAACUGCAAAACAAUGAACAACAUAAUCACAACACAAGACAUCAUCAUUACGUUGUUUCUUGUCAUUCAGUUUGGUCAUUAGGCAAACGGCACGUU
This is a long non-coding RNA of Cyprinus carpio (common carp), 318 nucleotides long. The record is from Ensembl. NCBI's taxonomy places the organism in Eukaryota, Metazoa, Chordata, Actinopteri, Cypriniformes, Cyprinidae.